This 468-nucleotide ribosomal RNA is filed under the name uncultured bacterium. RNAcentral's name for it is "partial 16S ribosomal RNA". It matches the Rfam family "Bacterial small subunit ribosomal RNA", at positions 28 to 507 of the family's 1533-position model. The record is from RNAcentral.
GACGAACGCUGGCGGCGUGCUUAACACAUGCAAGUCGAACGGAAAGGCCCUGCUUUUGUGGGGUGCUCGAGUGGCGAACGGGUGAGUAACACGUGAGUAACCUGCCCCUGACUUUGGGAUAACUUCAGGAAACUGGGGCUAAUACCGGAUAGGAGCUCCUGCUGCAUGGUGGGGGUUGGAAAGUUUCGGCGGUUGGGGAUGGACUCGCGGCUUAUCAGCUUGUUGGUGGGGUAGUGGCUUACCAAGGCUUUGACGGGUAGCCGGCCUGAGAGGGUGACCGGCCACAUUGGGACUAAGAGACGGCCCAGACUCCUACGGGAGGCAGCAGGGGGGAAUAUUGCACAAUGGGCGGGAGCCUGAUGCAGCAACGCCGCGUGCGGGAUGACGGCCUUCGGGUGGUAAACCGCUUUCGCCUGUGACGAAGCGUGAGUGACGGUAAUGGGUAAAGAAGCACCGGCUAACUACGUG